UUAAGCGACUAAGCGUACACGGUGGAUGCCCUGGCAGUCAGAGGCGAUGAAGGACGUGCUAAUCUGCGAUAAGCGUCGGUGAGGUGAUAUGAACCGUUAUAACCGGCGAUUUCCGAAUGGGGAAACCCAGUGUGUUUCGACACACUAUCAUUAACUGAAUCCAUAGGUUAAUGAGGCGAACCGGGGGAACUGAAACAUCUAAGUACCCCGAGGAAAAGAAAUCAACCGAGAUUCCCCCAGUAGCGGCGAGCGAACGGGGAGGAGCCCAGAGCCUGAAUCAGUGUGUGUGUUAGUGGAAGCGUCUGGAAAGGCGUGCGAUACAGGGUGACAGCCCCGUACACAAAAAUGCACAUAUUGUGAGCUCGAUGAGUAGGGCGGGACACGUGGUAUCCUGUCUGAAUAUGGGGGGACCAUCCUCCAAGGCUAAAUACUCCUGACUGACCGAUAGUGAACCAGUACCGUGAGGGAAAGGCGAAAAGAACCCCGGCGAGGGGAGUGAAAAAGAACCUGAAACCGUGUACGUACAAGCAGUGGGAGCCUCUUAAUGGGGUGACUGCGUACCUUUUGUAUAAUGGGUCAGCGACUUAUAUUCUGUAGCAAGGUUAACCGAAUAGGGGAGCCGAAGGGAAACCGAGUCUUAACUGGGCGUUAAGUUGCAGGGUAUAGACCCGAAACCCGGUGAUCUAGCCAUGGGCAGGUUGAAGGUUGGGUAACACUAACUGGAGGACCGAACCGACUAAUGUUGAAAAAUUAGCGGAUGACUUGUGGCUGGGGGGGAAAGGCCAAUCAAACCGGGAGAUAGCUGGUUCUCCCCGAAAGCUAUUUAGGUAGCGCCUCGUGAAUUCAUCUCCGGGGGUAGAGCACUGUUUCGGCAAGGGGGUCAUCCCGACUUACCAACCCGAUGCAAACUGCGAAUACCGGAGAAUGUUAUCACGGGAGACACACGGCGGGUGCUAACGUCCGUCGUGAAGAGGGAAACAACCCAGACCGCCAGCUAAGGUCCCAAAGUCAUGGUUAAGUGGGAAACGAUGUGGGAAGGCCCAGACAGCCAGGAUGUUGGCUUAGAAGCAGCCAUCAUUUAAAGAAAGCGUAAUAGCUCACUGGUCGAGUCGGCCUGCGCGGAAGAUGUAACGGGGCUAAACCAUGCACCGAAGCUGCGGCAGCGACACUAUGUGUUGUUGGGUAGGGGAGCGUUCUGUAAGCCUGUGAAGGUGGCCUGUGAGGGUUGCUGGAGGUAUCAGAAGUGCGAAUGCUGACAUAAGUAACGAUAAAGCGGGUGAAAAGCCCGCUCGCCGGAAGACCAAGGGUUCCUGUCCAACGUUAAUCGGGGCAGGGUGAGUCGACCCCUAAGGCGAGGCCGAAAGGCGUAGUCGAUGGGAAACAGGUUAAUAUUCCUGUACUUGGUGUUACUGCGAAGGGGGGACGGAGAAGGCUAUGUUGGCCGGGCGACGGUUGUCCCGGUUUAAGCGUGUAGGCUGGUUUUCCAGGCAAAUCCGGAAAACCAAGGCUGAGGCGUGAUGACGAGGCACUACGGUGCUGAAGCGACAAAUGCCCUGCUUCCAGGAAAAGCCUCUAAGCAUCAGGUAACAUCAAAUCGUACCCCAAACCGACACAGGUGGUCAGGUAGAGAAUACCAAGGCGCUUGAGAGAACUCGGGUGAAGGAACUAGGCAAAAUGGUGCCGUAACUUCGGGAGAAGGCACGCUGAUAUGUAGGUGAAGCGACUUGCUCGUGGAGCUGAAAUCAGUCGAAGAUACCAGCUGGCUGCAACUGUUUAUUAAAAACACAGCACUGUGCAAACACGAAAGUGGACGUAUACGGUGUGACGCCUGCCCGGUGCCGGAAGGUUAAUUGAUGGGGUUAGCGGCAACGCGAAGCUCUUGAUCGAAGCCCCGGUAAACGGCGGCCGUAACUAUAACGGUCCUAAGGUAGCGAAAUUCCUUGUCGGGUAAGUUCCGACCUGCACGAAUGGCGUAAUGAUGGCCAGGCUGUCUCCACCCGAGACUCAGUGAAAUUGAACUCGCUGUGAAGAUGCAGUGUACCCGCGGCAAGACGGAAAGACCCCGUGAACCUUUACUAUAGCUUGACACUGAACAUUGAGCCUUGAUGUGUAGGAUAGGUGGGAGGCUUUGAAGUGUGGACGCCAGUCUGCAUGGAGCCGACCUUGAAAUACCACCCUUUAAUGUUUGAUGUUCUAACGUUGGCCCGUAAUCCGGGUUGCGGACAGUGUCUGGUGGGUAGUUUGACUGGGGCGGUCUCCUCCUAAAGAGUAACGGAGGAGCACGAAGGUUGGCUAAUCCUGGUCGGACAUCAGGAGGUUAGUGCAAUGGCAUAAGCCAGCUUGACUGCGAGCGUGACGGCGCGAGCAGGUGCGAAAGCAGGUCAUAGUGAUCCGGUGGUUCUGAAUGGAAGGGCCAUCGCUCAACGGAUAAAAGGUACUCCGGGGAUAACAGGCUGAUACCGCCCAAGAGUUCAUAUCGACGGCGGUGUUUGGCACCUCGAUGUCGGCUCAUCACAUCCUGGGGCUGAAGUAGGUCCCAAGGGUAUGGCUGUUCGCCAUUUAAAGUGGUACGCGAGCUGGGUUUAGAACGUCGUGAGACAGUUCGGUCCCUAUCUGCCGUGGGCGCUGGAGAACUGAGGGGGGCUGCUCCUAGUACGAGAGGACCGGAGUGGACGCAUCACUGGUGUUCGGGUUGUCAUGCCAAUGGCACUGCCCGGUAGCUAAAUGCGGAAGAGAUAAGUGCUGAAAGCAUCUAAGCACGAAACUUGCCCCGAGAUGAGUUCUCCCUGACUCCUUGAGGGUCCUGAAGGAACGUUGAAGACGACGACGUUGAUAGGCCGGGUGUGUAAGCGCAGCGAUGCGUUGAGCUAACCGGUACUAAUGAACCGUGAGGCUUAACCUU
RNAcentral lists this ribosomal RNA (2902 nucleotides) under Escherichia coli HVH 68 (4-0888028). Its description in RNAcentral is "bacterial LSU rRNA". It matches the Rfam family "Bacterial large subunit ribosomal RNA". The record is from RNAcentral. RNAcentral also lists the same sequence under 1 other name. Lineage: Bacteria; Pseudomonadati; Pseudomonadota; Gammaproteobacteria; Enterobacterales; Enterobacteriaceae.